This is a long non-coding RNA of Lycium barbarum (goji berry), 1385 nucleotides long. RefSeq lists it as uncharacterized. Lineage: Eukaryota; Viridiplantae; Streptophyta; Magnoliopsida; Solanales; Solanaceae. The record is from RefSeq and is a predicted model, not a curated record. The transcript is spliced from 2 exons.
UCAACCUUACAGGUAGAGGAAUGUUACAAAUCAGUCUUUCCACAAGCUAUCUGCCAAGUACUAUGGUCCAUUACAAGUCAUCAAAAGGGUGGGUCCUGUAGCCUAUACUCUCCUAUUUCCAGAUUCUGUGAAGAUUCAUCCUACUGUGUGUUGACACCCAAUUUUGUCCCUCAUUUAUUUCAAUUUAUUUACUCGGGCUUCUAAAUUUAUUGACGAGCUGAACACUUUAUUUUCACUAUUACUAAUUUUCACUACUUUACCAUCAACAUCACGAGCAUUACUUUAUCACCAAUUUUUAAAUAUUCGUCAUCGUUUCAUUUUUUUCGGGUUUAGAAUCGUUAAAUUAAUUACAAGACAACACUUUGUUAAAUCCUUAUUUUCUACAUAUUAAUUAUUAAUUGUCUUCACAUAGUAUAUAUUGUACUAGUUAUUAAAUUAGAAACCCAAGAAUAAUUAAAUAGAGGAGGAAGAAUCAACAAUUUUCAUCUCAUAAGCAAUUGCUCGAAAGUAUAUCAAUAUUGGACUCAUUUUGAAGCUCGUAUUUUAAAACGACGUGUUAUAAUUUUUAUUUUGUCAAAAUAUUAUUUUACAAAGGACAAAUUCCUGAUAAUGUUAUUUACCCAAAAAAGAAAAAGAAAAAAAAAAGAAGGAAAGUAAAGAGAGAGAUAAGAGGAAUUGGUGCGGUGAACUUGGAAUAAGAAGGAAUGAAAAAGAAAGAGGAAUAAUUAAACAUCUUUGCACUUCUUUUUCUUUUUCCUUCUUUUGCGCUCAUCUCUCCCUUUCCCCUCUUCUUCUUUCUUCCACCUCCUUCAUCGUCUUCUUCUUUUUCUCUUCUUCUUCUUCUUCUUCUUCUGCCUCCUUCAUCAUCCCUCCACUCACUUCUGUUCCCCACCACGUCUGUCUCUCCACUUCCCCUUGUCCCCCACGCUUAUUCCUCGCUUCGUCUCUCUCAUACACUCCUCCUUUUACUUUAAUACAAAUGAAACCUUAUAAAUAAAACGGGAGUUAAUCCAGAAGGGGAGAGGAUUUUCAGUUUUUGGGGAGGGAACUGAGCAUCGUUUUAGAAAAAUAGGGAUUUUUGUUGAGCAAGAAACCUAAGAAACUUGGACAAAAGAUCUGGAAUCUACAAAUUUUCCUUACAAAAACACAGUUACUUUAAUCGGGUUCGUUCGAGUUCGAGUAGAGAUCCGAGAUUCAUACCCCGUUCACUGCACCUACAAAAGGUAUGCAUUUGCAUCGGAGUACAACAAAUCACGAUGAUCAAGGGCAUCACAAAUAGAGCUAGAAGUUAGGCAUAGAAAUUGUAUUUACUUUGUUUAGAUUAGGAAACACUUUAUGCUGUAUUCAUUUGACAUGUAAUAAAUAUUACAUUAUUUUGUACUUUA